CGUAACAAGGUUUCCGUAGGUGAACCUGCGGAAGGAUCAUUGUCGAAACCCGAGAAAAC
Molecule: ribosomal RNA, 59 nt
Filed under: Hemiboea longzhouensis
Lineage: Eukaryota; Viridiplantae; Streptophyta; Magnoliopsida; Lamiales; Gesneriaceae
Description: partial 18S ribosomal RNA
Rfam family: Eukaryotic small subunit ribosomal RNA (bases 1-42)
Source: RNAcentral